CCGAAGCUUCCCAAUGCCAACUAACUUCAUGCCCCCUAAGAUCCCCAAGUAUGAGGGAAAAGGGGAUCCGGAGAAGCACCUCACAAAGUAUAAGACACAAAUGAGUCUUAGGGGAGCCUCACCCGCUCUUAAGUACAGAGCCUUUCAUUUAACACUGGGCGGAGCCGCCGAGGUGUGGUACAGCAGGCUUCCUUCCCUAAGCAUCAGAAGUUGGCCGGACUUGAAGAAAGCAUUUUUGAACCAGUACCUCUCACGCAGGGAAGGAGAGGCACCAAUCCAACGCCUGCAAGACAUGAGGCAGGCCCCUGGAGAGACGCUGAAAAGCUAUCUCGCCAGGUUUACAGACGAGAUUACUUACUGCCAGCAGGUCACUGACAGGGAAGCCCUUUCAGCCCUGAAAGGUGGUCUCAACAUGAACACUUUGUUU
Molecule: long non-coding RNA, 427 nt
Filed under: Olea europaea subsp. europaea
Lineage: Eukaryota; Viridiplantae; Streptophyta; Magnoliopsida; Lamiales; Oleaceae
Source: RNAcentral